CUGGCGUCAGGAAGUGAACGCUAGCGGCAGGCUAACACAUGCAAGUCGAGGGGCGAGCGGGAUGUAGCAAUACAUUGCCGGCGACCGGCGGAUGGGUGCGUAACGCGUAUGCAACCUACCUUAUACAGGGGAAUAACCUUUCGAAAGGGAGACUAACACCCCAUGGUAUUGAUUUAAGGCAUCUUAGAUUAAUUAAAUAUUUAUAGGUAUAAGAUGGGCAUGCGUAUGAUUUAGCUAGUGGUAAGGUAACGGCUUACCAAGGCGACGAUCAUUAGGGGUUCUGAGAGGAAGGUCCCCCACACUGGUACUGAGACACGGACCAGACUCCUACGGGAGGCAGCAGUGAGGAAUAUUGGUCAAUGGGCGCAAGCCUGAACCAGCCAUGCCGCGUGCCAGGAAGACGGCCUUAUGGGUUGUAAACUGCUUUUACAUAAGACUAACCGUAUAUUUGCGAAUAUACCUGAAUGUAUUAUGAGAAUAAGGAUCGGCUAACUCCGUGCCAGCCGCCGC
Molecule: ribosomal RNA, 510 nt
Filed under: uncultured bacterium
Lineage: Bacteria
Description: bacterial SSU rRNA
Rfam family: Bacterial small subunit ribosomal RNA
Source: RNAcentral